UCGCGCGACGGCCACCGCGUCUUCUCUUGCCUUUAUUCAGCCCCACCGUGGACUUUUCGGCGCUUGUCGUGCGUUUCAUCGGCUCACAGAGGCGCUCCGCCUGACAGCCAUGUCCCAACUAUCGAUCGUAAAGGAUCAGCUGCUUAGUAAAGGCAUCAACCACUUUGUGGUGCUAUCCAGUUCCGGUCAGGUGGUCGAGUACAGCGGCGACUUUGAGAUCAAGGAGAAGCAGGUGCUGGCGUACGCUAUUAUUCAGCAAUGCUCUGCGCUGUUUGCGAAAGGUGAAUCGAUGAAGCGAGUCACCAUGAAGUUCGACGACGUGCUUUACGUGGCGACGACUGUUCAAGAUAGUGCGAUGGUGUACGGCGUGGUGGCCAAGCGUCCCACGAACGGGGCGACGAUGUAAUGCCCGCCUGCGCACCGGCGACAGUUUGUUUGUUUCUGAAAGAAGGCGGUUGUAGGACAUGUGGUAUCGGUGUGUCUGUGAGUACCGCACCCUUCCCGUUGCCUGUAUCGGCGUCUGCCUCUCCGCUGCUUUGUCUCCCUGCGGGCGGAUCUAUUUCGCUUCUUUUGUGUUGCUUCUCCGCGUUGUUGACUAUGGAGAAGGUGAAGCGCUGUAGCGCGGCAUGCUGUCUGGGACGAAGCUCCCUCGACGCCACUCUCUGCGCCUGUUGCUUCGUUGCGCCAUUCGCAUCUGCCAAAUCAUCAGCUUUAGGCCGGGCACUGAGGUGUUCACUGCACUCCUUCGCCCUUGGGGGAUGUGCUUUGUGCGGGCAAUUGCACGUCUCAGCGCUGUGACAUGUGCUCUACCGGUGCAGUGAGCUGGGAUGCAUGACAGCUCUCCAUCCGUCACCCCCCCCUCUCUCUCCUCCUUUUCCCUUUCCCUUUCCCUUCAUUUCCUGUAUUCCUGCACGUUGGAGACUCACACGGCGUGAAGCAAAAUUGCGUGUGCUGCAAACGGGUAAUGUGAGGCUGUGCAAAUUCAACUAUCCACCAUCUUUCCUUUUCUCGCUCCCCUCCCGCUUCCCUCUCGCUUCUCUGACGCCUUCCACCUCUCCACGUGUGUGUGCGGGCGUGUGUGCGCGUCACAAG
Molecule: unclassified non-coding RNA, 1092 nt
Filed under: Leishmania donovani
Lineage: Eukaryota; Euglenozoa; Kinetoplastea; Trypanosomatida; Trypanosomatidae
Description: gene:LdHU3.34.6370(CDS-product:hypothetical_prote in_conserved)
Source: RNAcentral